RNAcentral lists this ribosomal RNA (115 nucleotides) under Staphylococcus aureus. RNAcentral also lists the same sequence under 1 other name. The record is from RNAcentral. Lineage: Bacteria; Bacillati; Bacillota; Bacilli; Caryophanales; Staphylococcaceae.
UCUGGUGACUAUAGCAAGGAGGUCACACCUGUUACCAUGCCGAACACAGAAGUUAAGCUCCUUAGCGUCGAUGGUAGUCGAACUUACGUUCCGCUAGAGUAGAACGUUGCCAGGC